CACACCUCGCAGGGGAUUGCAGCAUAUUGGCGCGUCCCAGGCAGCAGAUGAGAACUUCUGCCCUGAGCCAUGGGGAGCCCCUGGAGUGCUUUCAACAGAAAAGAGGCAGCUCCACAAUCUGCAUUUGAGAGACACAGCCUGGCAGCGCUGUGAAAGGUGAGUUUCUGCCCCUUGGUCGCGGACCCCCUGUCCUAGCCCACUUCUCUGUCCCUUAAGCCCCUUUACAUAUUUUCAUCUCUCAGUCUCACCUUCCAGAAUGAGAAGAUCAAAAACUGUACCCUGCUCAGUGGCUUGGGAUCCCUGUUUCUUUGAGGGCGGAUUGUUAAACAACACGGAAUAUGCCAAACACAUGCAUCACAGAUCCCACGCAGAGCCGCGGAAGGGUGUGAACUGAAUGAGGCAGUAUCCUGGUAAGAGCUGCAAGAGUCUCCUCUCCUCUCCAAUCUCCCAGGCAGGAACCAAUGGACACUGGGGCGAAGGUGCAUGCGAGGUGGGCAUAGCAGCUGCCCAUUGUUUUUGUGUGAAAAUUCAUGGAAUAAUGCAAUGUCUGAGUGGCCCUGUUAGAAUGCAAAGGCAUGAUUUACUCUCCAAAACAAAGCAGGUCACUAACCUGCUUGAUCUUUAUAGGGAAGACUUCUGCCCACUGGCAGUGAGACUGACAUCCAGCCUACCCCCCCUCACCUUCCCCCCACCCCCAC
This 698-nucleotide long non-coding RNA is filed under the name Vulpes vulpes (red fox). Its description in RNAcentral is "lncRNA (ENSVVUG00000027563.1)". Lineage: Eukaryota; Metazoa; Chordata; Mammalia; Carnivora; Canidae. The record is from RNAcentral.